CCUAAUGGAUGAGGAAGAGGAGGGGGCGUGGGGUGUGGAACACACUGAGCCUGAUGCAGCAGCCAGAGCAUCCAAGUGCCUAGUUUUCAUUUAGUCACUGAAGAGAUGGUUGGUAUUGAAUUUUUAAAUCUACCCAUAUAAUUUAGCUAAAAUCUGAAACACGCUGUCCCACACCAUGUAACACAAUAGUCACCUUCUGAUUAUUUCUAUUAGUGAAGCAGAUACUACAUCAUUAAUUGAAAUCUACAAACUGUCUAUAGCUAUCUUGUCACACAGCUAUGUAUACCAGUUAGGAUUAAUAAAAGUAUUAAAAGAAUGUAAAAUCCUUAACAAAGUGUCUGACACAUGGUAAGUAUUUAACCAACGUUGUUUUAUUUUUUUUUUAAUGUUUCUAUUUAAGAGAGAAAGAGCGGGUGUGCAAGUAGAGGGAAAGAGAGAGAGGGAGACACAGACUCCGAGGCAGGCUCCAGGCUCCGAGCCGUCAGCACAGAGCCCGGAUGUGGGGCUUGAAUUCACGAACUAUAAGAUCAUGACCUGAGCCGAAGUCAGACGCUAAACCGAGCCACCCAGGGUGAAUUCUGGAACACGGCCGUUCUGCUGAGACCGGUUACCUGCGGACUGGCAGGGCGGCCUGCAGCGAAGUGCGUGGCAGAGAAAAGGAAUUGUGGCUGCUCUCCGAGCGUCAGCUUGGACACUGAAGCGCUGGCCGGCCGAAGCUCUCCAGAGGACUUCGUUCUGGACACAACGAACCCGUCUCGAAAUGAGAAACCCACCCACAGACAGUCUGCACAGAGCUUGCGGCUCAGUCAGGACUCACCCGCCGGGCCCCAGGGACGAGCCUCGACGUCCUGGUCAGCAUCGCUGCUGCGACCUGAAACACAGUGGAAAGGGAAAAGUCACCUGGGUGAUGGAUCCAUACCCAGAAUAUGUACAGAAAGGGCAGAAGACACAGGAGACUUUUCAAAGGAAAACAAAUGGCUACUAAACUCACGGAAAGAUUUUCAUCCUCAUUACAAAUCGGAGAAAUGUAAAGUAAAACCAGCACAGAGAGCUGCCAUUCAGUCAGCAUGCUGGGAAAAAGGAGGACAAGAGUGAGCGUCACAGAGGCUGUGAAGCCCUGGGGACACACCGUCACCAGGAGCAGAUACAAUUAUCUUCGUUCAUUCAUUCAUUGGGGAAGAUACAUAUACGUGGUGACACUGGGAGACAGAGGAGGGGAAAGGAUCAGCACAUUGGGAAUAAUGCUGACUCCUGGGCGGAGGUGAAGGGCAGGACUGUGCAAAGCACAGAGAAUGGGAAUGAUCUACUUCUAAUCUGGAUAAUGGGGACAGGAGUUCUGUUUUACUAUUUUUGUAUCUUGUGUUUUUUUGUAUUCAAUCAUAUGUUGAAAAUAUCUCAGAAAAAUAAUCCUAAUCUCUUGGGAGCCGAAAGAUGUUUAAAAUACUUAUAUGCAACUCUUAAUAUAACAUAAUUAAAUCGAAUCUCCAGG
Molecule: long non-coding RNA, 1489 nt
Organism: Neofelis nebulosa (Clouded leopard)
Lineage: Eukaryota; Metazoa; Chordata; Mammalia; Carnivora; Felidae
Exons: 2
Source: RefSeq, a predicted model, not a curated record